GAUGAACGCUAGCGAUAGGCUUAACACAUGCAAGUCGAGGGGCAGCAUUAUUUUAGCUUGCUAAGAUAGAUGGCGACCGGCGCACGGGUGCGUAACGCGUAUGCAACCUGCCUGUAAUUAGGGAAUAACCCGGUGAAAGUCGGACUAAUACCCUAUAUUCUUCUUUCUCCGCAUGGGGAAGGACGGAAAGAUUUAUUGAUUACAGAUGGGCAUGCGUCCCAUUAGCUUGUUGGUAAGGUAACGGCUUACCAAGGCAACGAUGGGUAGGGGGACUGAGAGGUUGACCCCCCACACUGGUACUGAGACACGGACCAGACUCCUACGGGAGGCAGCAGUGAGGAAUAUUGGUCAAUGGGCGAGAGCCUGAACCAGCCAAGUCGCGUGAAGGACGACGGUUCUAUGGAAUUGUAAAACUUCUUUUGUAGAGGAAUAAAUGGC
Molecule: ribosomal RNA, 438 nt
Filed under: Porphyromonas endodontalis
Lineage: Bacteria; Pseudomonadati; Bacteroidota; Bacteroidia; Bacteroidales; Porphyromonadaceae
Description: bacterial SSU rRNA
Rfam family: Bacterial small subunit ribosomal RNA
Source: RNAcentral